This 258-nucleotide ribosomal RNA is filed under the name uncultured bacterium. RNAcentral describes it as "partial 16S ribosomal RNA". It matches the Rfam family "Bacterial small subunit ribosomal RNA", at positions 524 to 776 of the family's 1533-position model. The record is from RNAcentral.
UACGUAGGGCGCAAGCGUUGUCCGGAAUUAUUGGGCGUAAAGAGCUCGUAGGCGGUUUGUCGCGUCUGCUGUGAAAACCUAAGGCUCAACCUUGGGCUUGCAGUGGGUACGGGCAGACUAGAGUGCGGUAGGGGUGACUGGAAUUCCUGGUGUAGCGGUGGAAUGCGCAGAUAUCAGGAGGAACACCGAUGGCGAAGGCAGAUCUCCUGGGCCGUAACUGACGCUGGAGGAAGCGGAAAGCAUGGGGGAGCGAACAGG